UACAGAGGUCUCAAGCGUUGUUCGGAUUCAUUGGGCGUAAAGGGUGCGUAGGCGGCGCGGUCAGUCGGGUGUGAAAUCUCGGAGCUUAACUCCGAAACUGCAUUCGAUACUGCCGUGCUCGAGGACUGGAGAGGAGACUGGAAUUUACGGUGUAGCGGUGAAAUGCGUAGAUAUCGUAAGGAAGACCAGUGGCGAAGGCGGGUCUCUGGACAGUACCUGACGCUGAGGCACGAAGGCCAGGGGAGCAAACGGG
RNAcentral lists this ribosomal RNA (253 nucleotides) under uncultured bacterium. Its description in RNAcentral is "partial 16S ribosomal RNA". It matches the Rfam family "Bacterial small subunit ribosomal RNA", at positions 524 to 776 of the family's 1533-position model. The record is from RNAcentral.